Molecule: ribosomal RNA, 501 nt
Filed under: uncultured bacterium
Lineage: Bacteria
Description: partial 16S ribosomal RNA
Rfam family: Bacterial small subunit ribosomal RNA
Source: RNAcentral
AUUGAACGCUGGCGGCAUGCUUUACACAUGCAAGUCGAACGGUAACAGGGUGCUUGCACCGCUGACGAGUGGCGAACGGGUGAGUAAUGCGUCGGAACGUGCCGAGUAGUGGGGGAUAACUAAGCGAAAGCUUGGCUAAUACCGCAUACGCCCUGAGGGGGAAAGCUAGGGAUCUUCGGACCUGGCGUUAAUGGAGCGGCCGAUAUCUGAUUAGCGAGUUGGUGGGGUAAAGGCCCACAAAGGCGACGAUCAGUAGCUCGUCUGGAGAGGACGACCAGCCACACUGGAACUGAGACACGGUCCAGACUCCUACGGGAGGCAGCAGUGGGGAAUUUUGGACAAUGGGCGCAAGCCUGAUCCAGCCAUUCCGCGUGAGUGAAGAAGGCCUUCGGGUUGUAAAGCUCUUUCGCAAGGGAAGAAACGAUACCGGUGAAUAUCCGGUGUUAAUGACGGUACCUUGAUAAGAAGCACCGGCUAACUACGUGCCAGCCGCCGCAGUAA